CAAUAGCGUAUAUUAAAGUUGUUGCAGUUAAAAAGCUCGUAGUUGGAUUUGUGGCGUACGGUGGGUUCAGGGCACUUGUUGUCUGAGUAACUUGCUGUUGCCAUCCUUGGGUGGAAUCUGUGUGGCAUUAGGUUGUCGUGCAGGGGAUGCCCAUCGUUUACUGUGAAAAAAUUAGAGUGUUCAAAGCAGGCUUAUGCCGUUGAAUAUAUUAGCAUGGAAUAAUGAGAUAGGACUUUUUUGCUAUUUUGUUGGUUUGCGCGAAGAGGUAAUGAUUAAUAGGGACAGUUGGGGGUAUUCGUAUUCCAUUGUCAGAGGUGAAAUUCUUGGAUUUCUGGAAGACGAACUACUGCGAAAGCAUUUACCAAGGAUGUUUUCAUUAA
Molecule: ribosomal RNA, 380 nt
Filed under: uncultured eukaryote
Lineage: Eukaryota
Description: partial 18S ribosomal RNA
Rfam family: Eukaryotic small subunit ribosomal RNA
Source: RNAcentral